Molecule: unclassified non-coding RNA, 378 nt
Filed under: fungal sp.
Lineage: Eukaryota; Fungi
Description: partial internal transcribed spacer region
Rfam family: Eukaryotic small subunit ribosomal RNA (bases 1-46)
Source: RNAcentral
AAGUCGUAACAAGGUUUCCGUAGGUGAACCUGCGGAAGGAUCAUUAACACGUAUCCAAACGUUAAACAACCCCGUGAACAUACAACCUGCUCUGGUCGCCCGCUCGCAUGGACAAGCCCAGUAAAUCAAGCCCCGGAAAGUUUUUGAUUUGGGACCUCUGUGCGCGUGAGAAAAACUGACAGCGAUUCAUAGAAGCGGUAGGUCAAGUGACACGGCGUCCCCAAGUGACCAGUGAAUGAAAGUGUCGCUGGAGCGUCAAGGACGACUCUUCAAGAUUGCUAUACUGAGCUUCCUUCCGAACCCCACUUUAUUGCCUUGCCUGUAAGCAUCCAUGGCAGGCCCCCCGAACAACUGUUAACAAUGGAUAUCUUGGUUCUC